Molecule: unclassified non-coding RNA, 701 nt
Filed under: Hevea brasiliensis (rubber tree)
Lineage: Eukaryota; Viridiplantae; Streptophyta; Magnoliopsida; Malpighiales; Euphorbiaceae
Source: RNAcentral
GCUUCCAGCAGAUUCCCGGAUUCAUCCCGUGUUGCAUAUCUCUCAAUUAAAAGGAGUGGUGGAAGAUCAUAUUGUUGCUAUUGACUUACCUAAAGAGCUGGCUGUCGAUGAAGAGAUGGUGGAGUCGAGGAAAUUCUAACCCGGAAAGGCAUGGGAAAUGGGGACAAUACGAGAUUCUGCUACUAAUUCGUUGGAAAGGUCGUUCUGCGGACGAAGCUACCUAGUUGAACUUGGUUGAUUUUCACAAUCAAUCUUCCUUCUUCAGCCUUGAGGACAAGACUAUUUUUCCAGCAGCAGGCGAUGUUAUGGAUCAGAUCAGGAAGUUGGGAUUGAAAAACCAAGGCCCGGGAAUGCUGAAGGCGUACUCACGCAUGCCCAAACAAGCAAGGGAGGUUUUUGGCAGGACAGAAGUUUCCAAUGGCACAGAAAGGAAGUCAAGAUUGGUGGGACUGACAGCUAAAUAACAAAAUGGAGUGAAUAGUAUACAAGAGCGAAGUGGUUAUGAAAUAAGGCAUUCUUUUGAUGUAUUGAAAUUGCGGCUUUGAGCUGGGUCAAGAGAAUUAUAGAAUUCCUCGGAAGAGAGUUUCUGUCGUUAUUUUUUCUUUCUUCUGCUUAUCAUCAUAUUUGAAUACUUUCAGUUCCAUUCUCUUGUAUUAUUGGACAAUCAAUUCAAUAUAAUUCUCUAUGAUUUUCUCUUAAAA